This is a long non-coding RNA of Erigeron canadensis, 1365 nucleotides long. RefSeq lists it as uncharacterized. The transcript has 4 exons. The record is from RefSeq and is a predicted model, not a curated record. Lineage: Eukaryota; Viridiplantae; Streptophyta; Magnoliopsida; Asterales; Asteraceae.
ACCUGAGGUAUGCACGGGUAUUGUUCUACUUACCUAUUACUCGUACUACUCAUUGAAAGAAAAGAAACAACAAUUUCUUUGUUCUCAUAACUUCCCAAUGUCUAGGAAUUAGGAAAAGUGAUAAUAUUGAAAUUAUAAAAGGAAAAACCCAAAACAUACCAUAAAUUUCUUUACCAAGAAUUAGGGUUACGAAUUGAACAAAGGGAGCAUACAAAAUUUUCUUACAGGUGUCCAUCAUGUGUAGAUUGGUUGCUAGUGAAGACGAUCUAGGCUAUGAAUUCGCCCGUCAUGAAAGCAUUCUUAAUGAAACUGACAGAAUGGAUCGAGAAAUACGUGCCGAAGUUGCUCUUUUGGAAGCAAGGGUUGUUGAGGUUGAAGCUCAGGUGAAAAAGCUUAUGUCCGCCGUUGUAUAUCUGCGAAGGCAGGUCUACGUCUGUGGCUUUGUCUGUCUGAUUCUGUCAAUUUGUGUUUGGUUUCUUUAUUCAAAGAAAUUCUGGUAUGAUUAGUUCACUCGUGUGUGUAGUAUGUUCUACUAAUGUAGUGAUUACCAUCUUGUAAUGUUAGACGAAUGAAAAUGCUAAGAUGGAUCAGUAUCAGUUUUACUUUAUAGAUAUUUCCCUUGUUUUGGAUUAUUUUUCUUUUCUCAUUCUCUUUUGGAAUGGUGAAUUAGUAUAUGUUGACAAAGUAAAAAUUACAAAGUGUCCAAACUAAAUAAGUAUUCUGGGUUAUGUUCUCUGUAUGAGUAAUGAUACCUUUUUUAGGCAUAGGAACACAUUUGAUAGAUCACAACUUUGUUGCAGAAAGUUUUCAGAACAAGAAGAGUCGAGGAAUAGAAUAACUACAAGACACAAUGCUAGAAAAAUGAAAUGAAAAUGACUAGGCCGGGCCUAAAAGAGGAAAAAGGGAACUUCUAGUAUAGAACGAAACAGAUAGAGAUACAGAAAUGAACCAUGGAAGUAUAUGAAUACCUAAAGAAGAUAACAGAGUAUGUAUGAAAAACGGGGCAUAGAGCCAAUAACGACGGAUUGGUGAUCUGAACCUGCCGUUCAUCUCUUAACCUGAUUGAUAUUUGACACAUUGUAUGAAAUGGGUCUAUUUUUUUGUUUGCUCCCGUGAUACUUUGCAGCAUGUUUAAAGGUGAUUUGAAUGGAGGUGGCGGUUUGACCGACCAGUCGAAAAUCGACAUCAAGAGAAUAGUAUUUCCCGUAUUGAGAAUGAUCCAGAGAGGAGGACCCGGAGAGGAUGAUCAGGUUGGUAGACAUAGAGAGGAUGACCUGGAAAGGAUGACCUGCUGUUGGUAUGUGAUCACGUUAUAAUAAAUGCAUGUCCGGAAAUAAUUUAAUCUUACGGGGUCACACGAAAUGA